UGCAAGUCGAACGGUAGCAGGAAGUGCUUGCACUUCGCUGACGAGUGGCGGACGGGUGAGUAAUGCUUGGGAACUUGCCUUUAGGUGGGGGAUAACAGUUGGAAACGACUGCUAAUACCGCAUAAUGUCUACGGACCAAAGGGGGCUUCGGCUCCCGCCUAGAGAGAGGCCCAAGUGAGAUUAGCUAGUUGGUGGGGUAAAGGCCUACCAAGGCAACGAUCUCUAGCUGUUCUGAGAGGAAGAUCAGCCACACUGGGACUGAGACACGGCCCAGACUCCUACGGGAGGCAGCAGUGGGGAAUAUUGCACAAUGGGGGAAACCCUGAUGCAGCCAUGCCGCGUGUGUGAAGAAGGCCUUCGGGUUGUAAAGCACUUUCAGUUGUGAGGAAAGGUUGGUAGUUAAUACCUGCCAGCUGUGACGUUAACAACAGAAGAAGCACCGGCUAACUCCGUGCCAGCAGCCGCGGUAAUACGGAGGGUGCGAGCGUUAAUCGGAAUUACUGGGCGUAAAGCGCACGCAGGCGGCUUGUUAAGCUAGAGGUGAAAGCCCCGCGCUCAACGUGGGAACUGCCUUUAGAACUGGCAGGCUAGAGUCUUGGAGAGGGGAGUGGAAUUCCAGGUGUAGCGGUGAAAUGCGUAGAUAUCUGGAGGAACAUCAGUGGCGAAGGCGGCUCCCUGGCCAAAGACUGACGCUCAUGUGCGAAAGUGUGGGUAGCGAACAGGAUUAGAUACCCUGGUAGUCCACACCGUAAACGCUGUCUACUAGCUGUUUGUGUAUUUAAUACGUGAGUAGCGAAGCUAACGCGCUAAGUAGACCGCCUGGGGAGUACGGCCGCAAGGUUAAAACUCAAAUGAAUUGACGGGGGCCCGCACAAGCGGUGGAGCAUGUGGUUUAAUUCGAUGCAACGCGAAGAACCUUACCUACUCUUGAC
Molecule: ribosomal RNA, 932 nt
Filed under: Alteromonadales bacterium HOT4G10
Lineage: Bacteria; Pseudomonadati; Pseudomonadota; Gammaproteobacteria; Alteromonadales
Description: bacterial SSU rRNA
Rfam family: Bacterial small subunit ribosomal RNA
Source: RNAcentral